RNAcentral lists this ribosomal RNA (498 nucleotides) under uncultured bacterium. Its description in RNAcentral is "partial 16S ribosomal RNA". It matches the Rfam family "Bacterial small subunit ribosomal RNA", at positions 29 to 523 of the family's 1533-position model. The record is from RNAcentral.
AUUGAACGCUGGCGGCAUGCCUUACACAUGCAAGUCGAACGGUAACGCGGGGCAACCUGGCGACGAGUGGCGAACGGGUGAGUAAUGUAUCGGAACGUGCCCAGUUGUGGGGGAUAACUGCUCGAAAGAGCAGCUAAUACCGCAUACGACCUGAGGGUGAAAGCGGGGGAUCGCAAGACCUCGCGCAAUUGGAGCGGCCGAUAUCAGAUUAGGUAGUUGGUGGGGUAAAGGCUCACCAAGCCGACGAUCUGUAGCUGGUCUGAGAGGACGACCAGCCACACUGGGACUGAGACACGGCCCAGACUCCUACGGGAGGCAGCAGUGGGGAAUUUUGGACAAUGGACGCAAGUCUGAUCCAGCCAUGCCGCGUGCGGGAAGAAGGCCUUCGGGUUGUAAACCGCUUUUGUCAGGGAAGAAAAGGCUCCUUCUAAUAUAGGGGGCUCAUGACGGUACCUGAAGAAUAAGCACCGGCUAACUACGUGCCAGCCGCCGCGGUAA